Molecule: unclassified non-coding RNA, 140 nt
Filed under: Bannoa bischofiae
Lineage: Eukaryota; Fungi; Basidiomycota; Cystobasidiomycetes; Erythrobasidiales; Erythrobasidiaceae
Source: RNAcentral
AUGAAAUGUUAGGAUGCUCUUUUUAGAGGUCCGACCCAUUACAUUUUCACACACUGUGCACACACUACUUUUUACACCCAUUUUAUAACUCUGUAAAAGAAUGUACAAAAGUCUCUUGAUUGAGCACAAAAUUUAUAUUA